This is a non-coding RNA of Mycena filopes, 97 nucleotides long. Lineage: Eukaryota; Fungi; Basidiomycota; Agaricomycetes; Agaricales; Mycenaceae. The record is from the annotation of a GenBank genome assembly.
UCGGACGUGGUGCAACGCAGCAUGGCCUCUACUUUUGAACAGUGCUCCCACAUGGAGGAGGAAGAGGCAGACUCGGGUUCGAUUCCCGACGUUCGAA